AUUAUAUGACCAAAAUGAUUAUUAAUAUAAAAUGUCUACAAAUAUAAAUAUUUCAGGCGAAGAAGUCUUUGCCACUAAGCCUUUUAAAAAAGGAGGCUUUCUUCUCGAAUACAAAGGGGAUCUGAUAACACGAGUAAAACAUGCACGGCAAUUAGAAAAGUAGUAUGAAAAGGAGAGUCAAGGCAGCUUCAUUUACUUUUUUAAAUACAGAGACAAAUCUUGCUGCAUUGACGCUACCAACGAUAUAUUUCAUGAGGGUCGAAUGAUAAAUGAUGCCGAAAAUGGAGACGCAAAACAAAUUGUGUAAUGAAAAUAGUUGAAGUCAACCAAGCUCCCCAUCUAUGCACUUUCGCCGACAGAGACAUUGCAAUUGGCGAGGAACUCCGAUAUGAUUAUGGAGUACCAACACUUCCAUGGAGAAAGGCAACACAAUGACUACUAGAUCUACGGACAGCCAGGAACCAGGACAAACAACAUCCAUACACACGGAAGAAGUCAAUGAGACGAAAUGUACGGAACAAAAAAGGGCAACACAAUGACUACUAGAUCUACGGACAGCCAGGAACCAGGACAAACAACAUCCGUACACACGGAAGAAGUCGAUGAGACGAAAAGGGUACUUCAAAUACCAGGAGAACAAAACAAGCAGCCAAAAAGCAAUGGAGUGAAAACGAAAAAGGAGCUGUUCACAGACACUUUGAUCGUUUUUUGAUAAUGGGUAAAUUACCAGGGAAAAAAGAAAUACUUGCAUGUAUUGAAAGUGAGAAUGACCUUCACAACAGAAGUUGGAAAAAUUUCAAAGACUUUUGCAGAAAUUUAAUUAAAACAAAAAAGCGACGGGGACUUUUAACUUAAAAAAAUAUAACACAUAUAAUGCACGUUUAGGAGAAUACGUUAAAGGAUGAAGUUGCCACAUUUUUUUGUGUUUUCUUGUUCUAUAUACUCUUUUCGAAAACGAUAUAUGUGUGCUUAUUGUAUUUGAAUGUUUUAUUAAUACGGUUCAGUCAAAAACGAUAUUUUUUCAUAAUCAUA
Dreissena polymorpha is the source of this 1032-nucleotide long non-coding RNA. RefSeq lists it as uncharacterized. NCBI's taxonomy places the organism in Eukaryota, Metazoa, Mollusca, Bivalvia, Myida, Dreissenidae. The transcript has 6 exons. The record is from RefSeq and is a predicted model, not a curated record.